GACGAACGCUGGCGGCGUGCUUAACACAUGCAAGUCGAACGGGUCUGCCCUGUUUUUUGCGGGGUGGGUCAGUGGCGAACGGGUGGGUAACACGUGAGUAACCUGCCCCUCACUUCUGGAUAACCGCUUGAAAGGGUGGCUAAUACGGGGUGUUCUGGCUGUGCCGCAUGGUGUGGCUGGGAAAGAUUCACUUUUGUGGUGUUUUGGUGGGGGAUGGGCUCGCGGCCUAUCAGCUUGUUGGUGGGGUGAUGACCUGCCAAGGCUUUGACGGGUAGCCGGCCUGAGAGGGUGGGCGGUCACACUGGGACUGAGAUACGGCCCAGACUCCUGCGGGAGGCAGCAGUGGGGGGUAUUGCACAAUGGGCGGAAGCCUGAUGCAGCGACGUCGCGUGAGGGAUGGAGGCCUUCGGGUUGUGAACCUCUUUCGCCGGUGAAGAAGGUCCUGCUCUUUGUGGUGGGGUUGACGGUAGCCGGGUUAUGAAGCGCCGGCUAACUACGUG
RNAcentral lists this ribosomal RNA (500 nucleotides) under uncultured bacterium. RNAcentral describes it as "partial 16S ribosomal RNA". It matches the Rfam family "Bacterial small subunit ribosomal RNA", at positions 28 to 507 of the family's 1533-position model. The record is from RNAcentral.